AGGAUGUUGGCUUAUAAGCAGCCAUCAUUUAAAGAAAGCGUAAUAGCUCACUGGUCGAGUCGGUCUGCGGGGAAGAUUUAACGGGGCUAAGCACAGAACCGAAGCUUGGGGUGCAUAACUUUGUUAUGCGCGGUAGAGGAGCGUUCCGUAAGCCGUUGAAGGUGGAUUGAGAAGUCUGCUGGAGGUAUCGGAAGUGCGAAUGCUGACAUGAGUAACGAUAAUGCGGGUGAAAAGCCCGCACGCCGUAAGCCCAAGGUUUCCUGUUCAACGUUCAUCGGAGCAGGGUGAGUCGGCCCCUAAGGCGAGGCAGAGAUGCGUAGCUGAUGGGAAGCAGGUUAAUAUUCCUGCACCGUCGUAUGAUGCGAUGGGGGGACGGAUCGCGGAAGGUUGUCUGACUGUUGGAAUAGUCAGUUUCUGGUUCAUAGAAGGUACUUAGGCAAAUCCG
This 445-nucleotide ribosomal RNA is filed under the name Chaetoceros curvisetus. RNAcentral's name for it is "partial Bacterial large subunit ribosomal RNA". It matches the Rfam family "Bacterial large subunit ribosomal RNA", at positions 1095 to 1544 of the family's 2925-position model. Lineage: Eukaryota; Bacillariophyta; Thalassiosirophyceae; Chaetocerotales; Chaetocerotaceae. The record is from RNAcentral.